GUGCCAGCCGCGGCGGUAAUACAGAGGGUGCGAGCGUUAAUCGGAUUUACUGGGCGUAAAGCGCGCGUAGGCGGCGAUAUAAGUUGGAUGUGAAAUCCCCGAGCUUAACUUGGGAAUUGCAUUCAAAACUGUAUAGCUAGAGUAUGGGAGAGGAAGGUAGAAUUCCAGGUGUAGCGGUGAAAUGCGUAGAGAUCUGGAGGAAUACCGAUGGCGAAGGCAGCCUUCUGGCCUAAUACUGACGCUGAGGUGCGAAAGCAUGGGGAGCAAACAGGAUUAGAUACCCUGGUAGUCCAUGCUGUAAACGAUGUCUACUAGCCGUUGGGGUCUAUGAGACUUUAGUGGCGCAGCUAACGCGAUAAGUAGACCGCCUGGGGAGUACGGUCGCAAGACUAAAACUCAAAUGAAUUGACGGGGCCCGCACAAGCGGUGGAGCAUGUGGUUAAUCGAUGCAACGCGAAGACCUUACCUGGCCUUGACAUACUAAGAAGAUUCAGAGAU
This 498-nucleotide ribosomal RNA is filed under the name uncultured Acinetobacter sp. Its description in RNAcentral is "bacterial SSU rRNA". It matches the Rfam family "Bacterial small subunit ribosomal RNA", at positions 505 to 1007 of the family's 1533-position model. The record is from RNAcentral. Lineage: Bacteria; Pseudomonadati; Pseudomonadota; Gammaproteobacteria; Moraxellales; Moraxellaceae.